RNAcentral lists this long non-coding RNA (12377 nucleotides) under Triticum aestivum (bread wheat). Its description in RNAcentral is "long non-coding RNA (TAES_LNC021034)". The record is from RNAcentral. Lineage: Eukaryota; Viridiplantae; Streptophyta; Magnoliopsida; Poales; Poaceae.
UUUUUUUUUCUUUACCUGCACUGUAGUACCAGACCUUGGAUUUUCUUACUUCCUAAAUCAGUGUCAUAAUAGUUUAAGUCAAGCAAAGUACUGUGUAUACAUUUUAAAAGACAAUGCAUUAACCUUUAGCUUCGAUUGUCUUUUUGGUGUUCCAAUUAUACAAUUUGUGUCUAGAACAUCAUUAAUGGGAUUCCAUAUCCUUGUUCUGUCAUGAGUACACUGAAUUAUUUGUUUAUUAUAAAGUUAUGAAGUUAUGUUAUUCAAGGAUGGAUGUAUAAGUGGAAUAGUAGUACUUUGGGAUUUCUUUCAGUCGAUUCGAUUUGGCAGCCAUCUGUUCAAACAUUUUUCUUUUGUUUAGAGCACAUGAACUGCACUAGAAUAUUUUGACAUCUUUGGAAGUUAGACACAUUUGAGAAAAGUUACACAUGAUCAUGAUGGAUGAAGAAUGAAUAAUAUAUAGACAAAACAGCUGUAAGUUUCUAUUAUUGGUUAUAAAAAAAUGCAGCUCCAGAAUUUGUACUGAACUAGAUGUUCAUUUCAGUCAGUUGUUUCUGAAAGUUGGAAUUACAGGAGUGGUCAAGAGAAGUUGGCCCAACUGUGAUUCUUGGCACCGAUCCCGUCCAUGAAUCUGACGGUCAGAAUGAGUGGAUCCACGGCUCCAUGGUUUUCCUAAAUUUUAUCCAAUUAAUAUUAUUCUGAAUCAGAUGAAUAACACCAUGUUUUUUUUGGAAGUAACAUUGUGAUAUGGAAAUAGCCUAAUUAAUCCUCUUUGUUGCGUGCACCCUAUUUGCUUAACGCUAGAUCAUGAAUUUGCUUAAUUUUGCUCGAGUGGAUAUAUCUGCUGAUAACUUUUGCUACCCAUCAAUUUUUUUGAAAAAAAGACACAUAUCAAGGUUGCAGUUUGGGUGGUAAUUCGGAUGUCCCAUUUUUCUUUUGCCAUUGAAGAUCCUCCUAUACCCUGAGCAUAUGAAGAAACAAAUUUGCUUUAGUUUAAUUUAGGACAUGUUUUACCUCUUCUUUGACAAAGUUAAUUUGUUAUCAUGUGCCGUGCACCCAAGCCAUGAACAGAAACUUCCUUUCUCACAUAUAUUAUCUAUAUUUUGUCUGAAACCAUGAUUUGUCCAUGUCCUAUAGUUCAUUUGGGUAUUAGUCAAUAUAAUUUUCGUGGUGUAAAUCAUUUGAUACAUAUAACCUGAUUUCUGGAUGUGUUCUACAGGAAGAGUCCAAGGCUGCACUAUUUCAGCCUUUUUUUGCCACAUAUAGGGAGUAGUAGGCAUUAAUUCACCAAACUUAAGCGUGCUACAAUAGGACAUGGUUAUCUUACAGCUCAGGCAUAAAGGGAAAAGUAACUAUCAUGAUCAUGUUGGACACCCAACCUGAAGAUACCAAAAAACACCACAUGCACGUACACGGCAAUUACGUAAUUGCCAUUACCCAAAGCAUCAAACGACAAAUAUGUCUAGUAAUCUAGUCAUGUCUAGUCUCAAUAAGAUGACUAAAUAACAGUAAAGGAAAAGAACAGGUUACACAUGACGAAUUAUUUAAAGAGAGAGUGAAGAAACCUAACCCUAUUGAGCUCCGCUAUAGAAUCAGAAGGGAUUCCAGUAGCAAAGCAUCUCCAGCCUCUACUUCUUUCUAUUCUCAGGAGAAUGAAGCGAAAGAUGGACAUGUGUAAACAAUUGCCGCACAGUUUACACUUCUGCAAGGAAUAAGUAAACAGAAAACAGAGAAAUUUUAGCACAGAGAUACUCUCUACCUGAAGUCUUAAUAACAACUCCAAGGCUAGGCUGCCCAGAUAUGAUGAUACAGAUACCGCGAAACGGCAACUUUUUAAAAAUGCAGCGAUACAUUUUCAUAUAUAUAGAUACUAAAACAAUAUAGAUAUUAAUGAUUCUAUGCAGGAACGGGAACAUAAUUGUUUUCCAAUCCCAUGAGCCAACACACCACUCAAGCUCACCAAAUCAUGAUAACUGCACGUGCAAGCUGCCAAGCUCAUCAAAUCACAAUGACUGCAUGAGCAAGACACACCAAGACAUUAGUGAUUGCACCGGAUGUAUCCAGAUGUAUCAGCAUAUCCGGGCAGUAUCCACCUCUUAUAGACUGGUUUUCUGCCGUAUCCGUGUUUCGUAGCUCAAGGUGAAUGUGUGACGAAAACCUACUCAUUUGAGUGUAUAACAUGAUUACCCCCCACCCUACCACAGUACCACCACCACAAAUAGUUCUAGAACAUGACACAAUCCAAAUCCAUGUAGAAAUUCAGGAAAUCCUAUGUCCAUUUAAUUCUUCCCUGAGUUCCAAAUCGCCUAUGUCCAUUUGGCUUGUGGAACGGGGCUGUCCUUGCAAAUUUGGAGGCCCAAUUCAAAUUCUUAUGAAAUUGGGAUUGAUCUGCAAUCCCAACUUUUGUGUUUGGUUGCCAAAAGUUCAUAAUUUCCCCAUGGAAACACAUGGCAAUGCCAACUUACGUCUGCCUAUUCCUCAAACAAUAAUGUCUAGCUGCCCAAGGUGGAUUAUAUUCCCUAUAUGGUGAGUAACCUGAUCGUAUAUGUCAAGUUGGGUGUAUUGUAAUUUUUGUAAUUUUGUUCAUAUGGGGAGAAAAUUAACAAUAAAAUGGAGCAUUCAUAUUCCCCACCAAGCAUACCUCUCGCAAAGACCACCAUAAAAUUUCACUCAAUACGAGAUGGAAGCCUGAUAGACCAUAUAAUGCAACCAAAGAGAAUGGGGGAAGAGCCCUCCGCCUGCUGCUUCGAUGAGUACCCAACACAAGAGGCGAGAGAAGCCUACCUAUGUCCGGGGGGUGCGUCCUUGGUGCAGCUCCAGGUGGACUGGAUCCUCGACCAGCGUCGAGGAGGACUCGACGACGGGCGGCUCGUUGGGCGACGGCGGCGCAGAUCCUAUUCCUAGGGCGGCGUCGAGGAAAGGGUUCGUCCGGUCGGCGGUGCCGCGGCGGUGGGUCGGACGAAAGGCAGCAGCGGGUCAGAAGGUUGCGAUCACUACUCGGGCCAGGCGCGGGAGGCCCACGGGAAAGAUGUACCGGCCGGCCCGUGGGUGCGGUUGGUUUUGCGUAGUGAGCACGGGCCAUAAAUUGAGAGAAGUUGAUCCUCAAAAAACAAAAAACAAAAUUGAGAGAAGUUGGGAGUCACUAGAGUCGUCGCGGAUUUCCUCCGGAUUCAGGCGCGUUCACAACGAAGCAACCUGAGAACGGUUAAAGUCAAAUACCACUUUAUGAUUUUCUCAAAAUAAUCAUGAACAUUACUUUUGUUUACAAAACUAUUUAAAUGUAUGAACCGGUUUCAAAUUCAUUAACAUUUUUUUACUCACCAAACAUUUUUUGAAUCAAUGAACUUUUCUUUAAAAUUGGGAAACAAAUUAAAAAAACAAAAUAUUUAUUUUUAUUUUUGUGAACAUUUUCUAAAAUGUAUUGUACAUUUUUUUCAUAUUCCGGAAUAUGUUUUGAAUACACGAUCAUGAUUUUCGGAAUAUGUUUUGAAUACACGAUCAUUUUUUCAAAAUCAUGAACAUGAUUUUAUUUCCCGACCAUUUUUUCAAAAUUGUGAUUCUUUUUAAUUUCGCAAACAGUUUUGCAAAACCACCAACAUUUUUUGAAUCUGCAAUUUUUUUAUGAUUUUCUAAACAUUUUUGAAUUCACAUAUAUUUUAUGAUUUCUCAAACAUUUUAUUUGUGAAAACUCGCAACUUUUAGAAUAUUAAAAUCACGAAUUAAUUUAAAGAAGAAAGAAGAAAGAAAACAUAAUGAGAAAAGAAAAGACAAAAAGGUAAAAUAAAAAAACAAGCAAGUAAAGCCCCACAAAUGGGCCGGCCCAUGAAUGCAUACAUGGGUAGGACAUGCGUGAGAAAAGAAAGAUAAAAAGUGUGAGAGCUAGGGAUUGAACCCUAGUCUCAUUGCCAGAAGAUCUACCAGCCAACCACUCUGCCAUUCAUUUUUCUGUGUAUUCUACUCGUCGCUCCCCUAUAAAACAAUGAAGGAGGUGGCGAUUUUUGGUCCGAAAAAUUGAAUCGUUUUCUACUUAUGGGUGGCAUUGGUGGGUAAUUUUUAUCAACUUGAAGGGUACUUUUAAUGACGGACGACCAGAAGCUAUAGCCGCUUUAUUAAUACACGCACCGAACAUCCCAAAAAUAUCCAGAAAAAAAACAAAUAGAAAAACAAAUAGAAACAGAAAGGAACAAAGGAAGAGAGAGGAGGGCCGUAUCGUACAGGUAAUGGGCUUGAGAAAGUUGAGGAAUUGACACUCAAAUUUGUGAUCAGUCGAAAAACCCAGGUCAAGACAACUCACCAAAAAAAACGCAAAUCUCAAAGCAGAAAUCGAUGAGGAAAAAAAAACUAGCUGACCCAAAAUCAAUUUUCUGGCAGUUUACAUAUGGCUAAAAUGAUUUACGCCUACAAAGGCUAAAAUGAUUUAUAUUAAAUCAAAAGCAAACAGUGAAGCUAAUCAAACUAUGCUUAGUUCAAAAUUGACGGGCGUUCAGACGAGCCGCGACGCCGGCGAGCCGCAAACGUCUUUCCCGGCUCCGAAAGACAGACGGCACCCCCGGGCGACCCUCGAAGCCCUCCAUAAGCUCAACCCUCUCCACGCGCUCUCACCAGCAACGCACCAAGGCGUUGACCUCAGAGCUUUAAUUCCCCAACCCCCACCACCUCCCAUCGCAGACUCGCAGAAGCAUCCAAACAAACAAGAGAAGAAGUCGAUCGAGAGCAGCACCGGCAGCCGCGGAAGGGAGGCCAAGAGACGACCGAGCGGCGGCAGCAUGGACCGGAACAUGACGGGGCUCCUGCUCGGGUGUGUGGGCGCCGCCAUGACGGUGCUGGCGUACCAGCAGACGGUGGUGUCCAGCACGCAGUGCAUCGGCGCCGGCCUCGCCGUCCUCGUCUGCGCUCUCUGCAUCAAGGAAGGCUUCUUCUCCUUCUGAUGCCCGCCGCCCGCGUAGCGCACAGCUUUUGCCGGUUUCAGUUUCCAUAUUCCUUUGUAGCUCCUCCUGGUUGGAUCAUCUGAUCCGCAUAUGAUUGCUGCAGAUCGAAGUGGUUGUAUCUUGUAUUCUGUAAUUUCCUCCCUUUUCUUAUACAUACAUAGUAGUUUUUUGUCUGUCUUGAAGCGUGGCUGAUUGCAUCUCUUUUGUUGUUGUUGUUGUGCGCUGAUUACAUCUCUUUUACGACUAAAUUGCGGUUUCUGCCUUUCUUGGAUGCAUACAACCAGUCAAAUCCCCUAACCACCAAAGGAGAAUCAUUCGCCUAAAAUGGUUGACUUAAUGUACUCCAUUGCUUUUCGUACUACUUUUUGUACAAGAGACAGUCUAGUGUUUAACAGGAAUACCUGCAAGCAUCAGGAAAUGAAAUCCGCACAACUACAAUAACAUGGAAUGCCGAUGAAGUGCCGUCCUACAAUAGCAUGCAGUUACCUGCUUUACUAGAAACAGAAAUACUCAUCUCGAACGUAAGUACAUUUUGAGCGUAGAACUAUCCGUUCUGUACUAUCCCUGCCUCAUCUACAAACUGCCAUGACACGAGACAACACUACGUAGCUGCUGUUCAGUUCAGAUGCGCUGUUGGAAAUUUUGCAUUGCCGCACAACACCAAGCAGACGGACAGAGGGGUGCCGCCACCAUCAUCUGAAGUCGUGAAUGAUCUUCAGAACUUCAGAACUCGUGAAUGAUCUUCUGCAGAGAAGAGUAAGUCCCACUUGCGGCAACCAAGGAGCCGAGAACGAUGAUCAUGACGAUCAGCGCGACCUCGGCCCUGCUGCACCUCGCCGUGCCGAAGAUUUUGAGGUAGCAAAUGCACGGGAGCAGCAUGGAGGCCAUGACGCUGAGGAGCGAGCCGACGAGCGCCAUGAGGUGGCCGAAGAAGGGGACGGCGAGGGCCACGAUGACCGUGCUGAUGACGAUGAAGGUCCUGAUGAGCAUGUUGAGGGACCUCUUGUUGCCAGCAAGCAGCUUCUCCUCGAUCGCUGUCGCGACGGGGGUCACCAUCAGAGCGUACUUUGAGAACGGGUUGAUCAGCGCCGUGUAGAUUGCUAGCUUGGAGCUGAGCUUGCCCUCCGGGAGGUUCAGGGUCACCUGAGACUCGACGUCGUCGCCGUACAUGAGGUAGCCCAGUAUGGCCAUGGAUCCGUAGUUGAGGGUGCAUGCCACGAAGCAUAUGACCAGUACCUGUCAAUGCACUCCAACAGACAGACAUGCCAAAUCUUCAGUCAUUCAAUCUACUGUACUUUUUAGUUGAGGGAAGUGAGACAUCGUUCAGCAUAGAACACUGUUAGGUCACCGUCACAUGUUUUUUAGUAUCAGAUCUAUUGCACGUUAAAACGCCAAGAAAAAUACAAUGAUGAACAGUUUGGGAAUGUCUUGGCUGGCGUUAAAAUGAUAGGCCACUCAUUGAUUAGUGAUUACCUUGGAGAACUUGUCCUUUUCCUUCAUGGAAUUGCACAAUGUCGGGAAUAUGGCGUGGCCGCAGUAGCAGAAAGUGUAGAGUCCGAGCGCGGUGGGUAGGCCGCUGACGUUGAGCAUGGUGCCUUUCCCCUGAAAGCCGACGCCGUCAACCACCGCGGCCCAGAGCACGCAGAAGACCAGCACGACCGACGCGAGCACGCCGCUGGCCGACACGUAGGCGAGCACGCCCAGGUUCCUGAGCCACGUGGUGGGCAGGAUGACGAUGGAGACGAGCACGAUGAAGAGGUGCUUGCCGGAGAGCAGGAGCACGCCGCCGAGGCUGAGGCUGGCGCCCGGGAACAGCUUGUCGAGGUUGUCCCCCUCCAGUAUGAGGAAGCCGAUGGCGACGAGGUAGAGCUCGGCGUACAUGAAGGCCGAGACGGCGAAGCGGCCCUUGGCCCCGAAGGCGCGCGCGCCGAUGUCCGGGUAGCCGCGCACGUCCGGCGACGCGCCCAUGCACGUCUGCAGGAGCUGGCCGGUGUAGCAGCAGACGAUGGCGACGAGGAGGAGCAGCACCAGGCUGAGCCACCCGCCCUCCGCCAGCGCGUACGGGAUGGACAGCAGCCCCACGCCUGAAACCUCGACAUCGACCGGUCAGUCAGAGUGGGCCGACACUGUCAAGAAAGGGCAUGGCCGUACCGAAGAUACAGAUUGUUGCAGGCAACGGAAGAAAGAUUCGGGCUCCGGACUCACCGGAGAGGGCGUUGAGGCCAUUGAAGCAUGUGCGCAGGGACGUCGCGCCGCCGGCCGCCGGCGAGCACUGCGCCUCGUGGUCGUGCGCCGCCGCGGGGUCCUUGCCGGGCAGCAGGCCACCGUGCGCGUGGAGGAGUGGCUGCUCGAAGCCCGGUAGCCCGCCCGGCGAGUCGUGCGGCGCCGCUCCGCCAAUGGCCAUCUUACUCUUAUCCUACCUCCACCUCUAGGCGACGCCUCCUCUAACGAAGCUCUAGCAAAGACCAAAUAUUUUCACGACGGAUGGAACAGGCAGGGGGCAGGGAGCAGGGAGAGCGCAACGAGCAUGUGGCGCUGCGGCUGCGGCCUGAUCCGCGGCUGUAUAAAAGGGAACCCUACCUCGGCUUCUUCCUCCUCUCCUGCGUGCGGCGCCGACGACGGGUCACGAGUCGGGAGGCCCACACGGCUCGGGAGCUCUCUCUUGUGCGCUGCGCGCGCGGCCCAUGCGGUUUGGGAAGUCCGAGAGCAAGACUCCGCGGGAUCUGCGGCGUUAGAUCUGCCAUGUGGCAUGCUGCUCUGGUGUUCCGCAGGGACUGGAGAUUUGGAGUAGAGUUUCUUUUCACCCUUCUUUCUUUAGUAUCCCCGAAGGAUGGGCUUUGUACGAUGUCACGUCUCGUCUUAUCAAAAAAAAAGAGUUGGAUCCGAGGAAACCUUUUUCUUUUUCUUUUGAGGGUAAUCCGAGGAAACCUCAAUGGAACGGGUAACGUAGCCUUCGUUGCUCGCUCCCGACCGUUUACGUGCGCAUGCAGCUACACUAUAGUACACAUGGUCCGUUUAGUUGCUCCCGUAACUAGGAGUACUACUACUAUAUUUUAGGAAAGCCUCUUGAUUAGGUUGCAUGAGUGGGCAUGCCGUGGCUAGCGCUCACGUGCAAGCAUUAGUUUUAUCAGCCUAGUGGUUCGCACCACUGAGCUACUUCUGUGGCGCACCACGGCAUAGGGAGUAGUGCCUCGUGUGUGGCUUGAGCCCUGAUAUGCCGUCACAGCUGGCCAGGCUCGUCCAACGGCACGUUAACACGUGAUAAAUGUGUACAAAGUUCGCUGUUAUUUGCAACUAAGGAAAAUCAGAUGUUAUUAAUAACAAUGUCGUAUCACUAUAACUACGUGACCGGGGCGCGAGGUAGGGCGUGGCGAGCAAUCUUCAAAUCAUUCAAAAUAACUACUGCUACGUGGCCAGGGGUGUUACCAGCUUCCCCUGUAUUUGCCCGAUAAGCCGCCGGUCGCAAAUGUUUGCACACAAUCACACCCACAUGUUUCUUCAUAUCACCAGGAGUCCAGGACACAUUUCGUUCACACGCUGUAACUAGCAAUGUGGCCCAAGACCCGGAAUUCAUGUUGUAUACGAUCAACCAACGACAAGAACGCACCGAUGCGACAAGUGAACGACAAAUGCACCAAUGCGAUAGGUGAACGACAAAUCUCCCGUGUGCUGGGACGGAUCCGUCACCUUGCUAGCUCCAUGGUCUCAGCCUAUUACUCCAAUCAUCAUGGACAUUACCCCCCGGCUACAUGCAUGUAACCAGCAAUGUGGCACUAUUAAUAUCUCCCUGGAUCAUGAUGAGCUUUUAUUAAGGCUGUCUAUUUGACAUUUGACUGUUUUUCAAUUCGAAAACAGUCAAACUUUUUGACCAAUCAACACAUUACACCUGUAUGAGCAGAAAAAUCAACAGAAAGCAAAAAAGAACGCCUAAACAGGUCGGGGGUAAACAUCAAACCCGGGUCGGGGGUAAACAUGUUAAAUAACGGAGAACCAAUACAAAGGUAAAAAGCACUAUAUUAUAGUCAAAUUUCCUGAUAAAUCAAGUGCUGACACCUAUGUCCAAAUACCAUGGACAAUUGUAUGCUUGUAUUUCCAAAAAAGGGGUCGUGUGGCUAAAAUCUAACCCAGUUCUAACUAAUAACCGAAACAAAACAAGGCAACUAUCACCAAACCCUCCUGGACCGUUGCCCAUGCUCUUUUUUCCUUUCCUGGACAACAAAUCACCUGACAAAGAAAAGGAACAAAAAUCAUCAGAAUACUGGCGUCUCCCAGGACCCUCCUUUAACUUGCAUCACACAAGUCAUCUGGGAGGCGCCAUGGCCCAUGGGAGAGGGGAAAUGAGAAGAAAGAGUAGAAAAACAUCAGAGAGACGUCAUGGGAGAGAGGGAGUGAGAAGAAGGAAGAACAAAAACAAGUCAGAGAGGCACAUCAGAGGGGCAAGUACCUGGAGAGAAGCAAGGGGGAAGAACAGAUCUGAAUAAUUGGUGGUGGACAAAGGAAGAUCAUCCAAGAGACGGUCCACAACUCACAAAAUGUCCUACUCCUUUUGAUCACACUUCUAUUGAACUCUUCCAUGUUUUUCCUCACCCUGCUGCUCUACAUACACCUGCUACAUGAACUAGCCUGCAAAAAAACCAUCAUACAAUCUAGUGAGAAUUUUGGAAUCGUCAGGGGAAAAAUUCUAACUGUCGGAAGUUAAAACUGUUAAUAUUUCACUGUCAAACACUACACCAACACGAAUUCCAGUGUAACGUACACAUGAAAAAAAAACUUUGCUGCAGUAUAGGGCAAUGUAGGUAACAUGAACCAUGAGGAAAUUACAUGAAAAAAGUUGUGUUGUAGUACACAUGAAAAAAUCUUUGCUGCGAUACAUGGCAAUGUAGCUAACAUGAACUCAGGGGAAAUUACAGAGUUAGACAACUCAUGACAUUCAUGGAAAAAUGAGAUGAAUUCCAGUGUAAUACCUACAUGACAUACAAUGCAAACUGGGGGAAUAUUACACCGUAUUCCAGCAUUAUUUAAUACAAUUCAGAAUUACAAUGUGAUUCUGGGGGAUAUUACAAUAUAAAUUUGGGGUAUGUAUAUUACAAUGUAAUCCUGGGGAAUAUUACACUACAAAUAUAGUGGAAAUUACAGAGAAAUUAAGAGGUAUUACACUGUAAUUCAAAGAGUUAAAAUUCACCGGAAAUUCAAGCAAAAGCUGAACAGAAUAAGUACAGAGAUACAUGCAAGUUCGUAUGAAGUCAUGAAUACAGAGACAGACCUAUCAGCAUAAAGAACACAAGUCCUAUCAGAUGAAUGCAUUAAUAUUGACAAUCAAAAAUAGAGCUUGUUACAGUGCUGGUACACAUGGACAGUGAAGGAAAUGAAUAAUCACACUAGUGGAUUACAAUGAUAAUAACCAAGAGACUACACAAGGAUAAUCACACAAAGCAGAGUUAAAAUCCACUGUAAUUCAAGCAAAUCUGAACAAGAAUGAAGCCCAAAUAUCAAAUAAUACAGAGGUUCAUCGGGAAAAUUACACUACUUUGUUUAGAAGAAGAAAAAUUAGACUGAAUUUCUAGGAAAAUUUACACUGCAAUUUGGGGAAUAAUUACACUAUAAUUACAUAAAUAAAGCAUGAAGUUUACACUGUAAUUAUGGGGAAAAUUACACUGUAAUUACAUAAAUGAAGCAUGGAGUUUACACUGUAAUUCUAGGAAAAUUACACUAUAAUUCUGGGAAAAUUACAUUGUCAUUUAAAAAAAUGAAGCAUUGGGAUUACACUAAAACCUGGGCUAAAUUACACUGCAAUUCUAGGGUAUAUUACACUGCAAUUACAUAAAGGAAGCAUGGGGAUUGCAAUGAAAUUUUUGGAUACAUUACACUGUAAUACUAGGGGCAUACUACACUGUAAUUUUAGGCUAAAUUACAUUGUAAUUCUUGUGAAUAAAAAAGAUAAGUCAUUAGUUGUAACUAGAUCAGAAAGACUCACAUGAUUCACAUAGAAAUUGAAAGUAGUUUUAUCAAAACCCCUAUCAUCACUAGAAAGAUCCUAAAAAAUAAUUCAGUCAACAAACAGAAAUUUUAAUAAAUUGAAAGAAAGAAUAAAAACGAAAAUGAAAGUAGAGAACAAGACGAAAAUAACUACCAAAGACAUAGCAUUAGAACCAUCUUCCACAAAGUCAUUAGGCACAAAAGGAUCAUUCAAAGAAUCAGCCCUCUCAAUAGAAGAAACUACCAAAACAUCAUUGUGAGAGACUUCCCGUAGUCUCCCCAUUGACCUAAACCUAACAAAACAUAAUACAUGACACACGAAAGAAAAUAAAAGAAAGCUGAAAAUUAUAGGGUAAUGGGGCUCAAUUACAAGGGAAAUCUCACAACAAAUAAUACAUUGAAAGGCAGCAAUCAGGGGAAUUAUAGAGUAAUGGGGGCAUAUUAAUACAGUGGAAGAAUCACUUAAAUACAGUGUAAAACCAACCUAAAUACAGUGAAACUCUGAGUAAAAAUACACAAUAAUUAGGGCAACUUACAAUGAAAAGGUAGAGGGAGAACACUGCCAAAAACUGAAGAUAAAUUAUAUAGUAAGAAUGGGGGAUAUUACAGUGCAAAACCACAUGAAUGCAUGCAAAACAUCUGAGAAAAAAUACAAUGUAAAUAACAAAGAAACUGGCGCAGUAUUACACUGAAAAAAUAUACACUGCAAUUUACACUGAAAGAAGCAUGAUAAUUACACUGUAAUGGGGGUAAUUCUAGGGAAAAUUACACAAUAAUUACAAAAUAAAGAAGCACGAAAAAAACAAUGUAAUUAUGGUAUAUUACACUGUAAUUGCAGGCUAACCUACAGUGUGAUUCUACGACACAUGAGAAUUACAAUGUAAUGGGGGGAAAUAUUAUACAGUAAUUCUAGGACAAAUUACACAGUAAUUACAAAUAAAAAAGCACAAAAACACACGGUAAUUACGGUAUAUUGCACUGUAAUUGCAGGGUAACCUACAGUGUAAUUCUACGGACAUAUUACACAGUAAUUAUAGCAAAAUUCACACUGAAGAAAGAAGCAUCGGGAUUACACUGUAAUUAGGGGGAAAUACACAGUACUACUAGGACAAAUUCCAGAGUAACAGCAAAUAAAGAAGCAUCAGGAUACACUGUAAAUGCACUACAAUUAUGGGGUAAGUUACACUGUAAUUAUGGGUUAAAUUACACAGCAAUUCUGGAUGGGGAUACACUGUAAUUCUAGGGGUAAGUUACACUUCAAGUCUGGAGUAAAAAUACACUGUAAAGAAGCAUGCAAUUCAGAGAGAUUCCUGGACUGACACUACAACAACACUGCAGCCUAGUACACACAAAUUCAGAGAGAUUUAGGUACCGGGGGAAAUGAACACCUACAUCUAACACAAAAAAUCAUAAUGAAUUCCAGGGACUACAACAUCAAACAUCAGCAGCUAACAGCAAAUACAACUAAACUGCAUA